RNAcentral lists this long non-coding RNA (794 nucleotides) under Struthio camelus australis. RNAcentral's name for it is "lncRNA (ENSSCUG00000012026.1)". Lineage: Eukaryota; Metazoa; Chordata; Aves; Struthioniformes; Struthionidae. The record is from RNAcentral.
CGAAGGGAAGCGGAGCGGAGCGGAGCGGGCGAAGUCUCGCGAGACCUGCCGGCGUUCCCGCGCGGCCGUUGGGCCCUUAGGGCGGCAACGAAGCCUCCAGGCUUUGGGAUGCCGUGGGCGGGCGCCUCUCGGCCCGGUGCUCUCGUGGUUACUAGCGUUUCACGGACAACAGAUGGAAGUGCUGCUGUGCAGGACUUAUUGUCAGCAUCCCAGCCAGAAAUACAAGACAGCAACUAGCUUUUGGCAGGUGCCAUAAAAGCAGCCCUUGAGACCAAGCGAAAGAUUCCUCAGAUACUGCACUGCUAAGGAUUCAUCCUUUCUGAUCUUCUACUGUGCCACUCACCUGACAGCGAACAAGGAACUGCCUCAGUUGGCACCAUGGACAGAGGCCCCCUCUAUGUGUGGCUAUAGUUGUAGACUGUCCCUUCCUGACAAGUCUUACCUGUGUGUAUAACUGAGAGAUUUAGGUAAUUUAAUUAGAUUAACUGAAUUAGUUGCAUUGGUAGAUUUUGAGGGUGGAUAAUUCUUCCCCCAAAACUGGGCAAAAUCAAUGUUUCAUCUCCUGUGAAGUAUUUUUAGUUCGAGGAUAUUUCAAAUUGACAACUGGUAGCUUAAAUAGUCUGAAGUAUUAUUCCCUAACACAUAAUGUGAGAAUAACAGUAAAUACUAUUGUGAACCAGUAGUGCAGCUGUAAGAUGACAUUGGCAAACUUUGCUUUUUGUUAUUAGUCCUCUGCCCUCUAAAAUAUACUUACAGCCCCCUGCUAUGUAUCACCAUUGCUACACCGAAUAAAC